Molecule: ribosomal RNA, 445 nt
Filed under: uncultured bacterium
Lineage: Bacteria
Description: partial 16S ribosomal RNA
Rfam family: Bacterial small subunit ribosomal RNA
Source: RNAcentral
GUGAGGAAUAUUGGUCAAUGGACGAGAGUCUGAACCAGCCAAGUCGCGUGAAGGAAGACGGUUCUAUGAAUUGUAAACUUCUUUUGUGCAGGAAUAAAGUGGGUUACGUGUAACCUUUUGUAUGUACUGUACGAAUAAGGAUCGGCUAACUCCGUGCCAGCAGCCGCGGUAAUACGGAGGAUCCGAGCGUUAUCCGGAUUUAUUGGGUUUAAAGGGUGCGUAGGUGGAUUGAUAAGUCAGCGGUGAAAGUUUGCAGCUUAACUGUAAAAUUGCCGUUGAAGCUGUCGGUCUUGAGUGCAAAUGAGGUAGGCGGAAUGUGUUGUGUAGCGGUGAAAUGCUUAGAUAUAACACAGAACUCCGAUUGCGAAGGCAGCUUACUGGGAUGCAACUGACACUGAGGCGCGAAAGUGUGGGGAGCAAACAGGAUUAGAAACCCCAGUAGUCC